AUAUGCUGAUUGGUAGUUAAUGCAUUAACUAAUGUUAACAAAUGAGAUGCUAUUGUUGUUGACGGUCACCACUUUAUAAGUUAAAAUCUUGCAGUAAAACCCAUUGAGAAGUCUUCAGACGAGAGGAGGUGUUCUGUGAGUCACAUCAUUACU
Sinocyclocheilus rhinocerous is the source of this 153-nucleotide long non-coding RNA. RefSeq lists it as uncharacterized. The record is from RefSeq and is a predicted model, not a curated record. Lineage: Eukaryota; Metazoa; Chordata; Actinopteri; Cypriniformes; Cyprinidae. The transcript is spliced from 3 exons.